RNAcentral lists this transfer RNA (71 nucleotides) under Lysobacter sp. RNAcentral describes it as "tRNA-OTHER". It matches the Rfam family "tRNA". Rfam says of the family: Transfer RNA (tRNA) molecules are approximately 80 nucleotides in length. Their secondary structure includes four short double-helical elements and three loops (D, anti-codon, and T loops). The record is from RNAcentral. RNAcentral also lists the same sequence under 1 other name. Lineage: Bacteria; Pseudomonadati; Pseudomonadota; Gammaproteobacteria; Lysobacterales; Lysobacteraceae.
GGGACAGUAGCUCAGAGGUAGAGCAAUGGCGCACGCCAUCGGCCGCCGGUUCGAUUCCGGCUUGUCCACCA